GAUGAACGCUGGCGGCGUGCCUAAUACAUGCAAGUCGAGCGAACAGACGAGGAGCUUGCUCCUCUGACGUUAGCGGCGGACGGGUGAGUAACACGUGGAUAACCUACCUAUAAGACUGGGAUAACUUCGGGAAACCGGAGCUAAUACCGGAUAAUAUAUUGAACCGCAUGGUUCAAUAGUGAAAGACGGUUUUGCUGUCACUUAUAGAUGGAUCCGCGCCGCAUUAGCUAGUUGGUAAGGUAACGGCUUACCCAGGCAACGAUGCGUAGCCGACCUGAGAGGGUGAUCGGCCACACUGGAACUGAGACACGGUCCAGACUCCUACGGGAGGCAGCAGUAGGGAAUCUUCCGCAAUGGGCGAAAGCUUGACGGAGCAACGCCGCGUGAGUGAUGAAGGUCUUCGGAUCGUAAAACUCUGUUAUUAGGGAAGAACAAAUGUGUAAGUAACUAUGCACGUCUUGACGGUACCUAAUCAGAAAGCCACGGCUAACUACGUG
RNAcentral lists this ribosomal RNA (497 nucleotides) under uncultured bacterium. RNAcentral's name for it is "partial 16S ribosomal RNA". It matches the Rfam family "Bacterial small subunit ribosomal RNA", at positions 28 to 507 of the family's 1533-position model. The record is from RNAcentral.